CCUACGGGAGGCAGCAGUGAGGAAUAUUGGUCAAUGGGCGCGAGCCUGAACCAGCCAAGUAGCGUGAAGGAUGACUGCCCUACGGGUUGUAAACCUCUUUUAUCAAGGAGUAAAGUGAGGCACGUGUGCCUCUUUGUAUGUACUCUAAGAAUAAGGAUCGGCUAACUCCGUGCCAGCAGCCGCGGUAAUACGGAGGAUCCGAGCGUUAUCCGGAUUUAUUGGGUUUAAAGGGAGCGUAGAUGGGUUGUUAAGUCAGUUGUGAAAGUUUGCGGCUCAACCGUAAAAUUGCAAUUGAUACUGGCAGUCUUGAGUACAGUUGAGGUAGGCGGAAUGCGUGGUGUAGCGGUGAAAUGCUUAGAUAUCACGAAGAACUCCGAUUGCGAAGGCAGCUUACUAGACUGCCACUGACAUUGAUGCACGAAAGCGUGGGUAUCGAACAGGAUUAGAUACCCCGGUAGUC
This 460-nucleotide ribosomal RNA is filed under the name uncultured bacterium. RNAcentral describes it as "partial 16S ribosomal RNA". It matches the Rfam family "Bacterial small subunit ribosomal RNA", at positions 338 to 795 of the family's 1533-position model. The record is from RNAcentral.